GACGAACGCUGGCGGCGUGCUUAACACAUACAAGUCGAACGGAAAGGCCCUGCUUUUGUGGGGUGCUCGAGUGGCGAACGGGUGAGUAACACGUGAGUAACCUGCCCUUGACUUUGGGAUAACUUCAGGAAACUGGGGCUAAUACCGGAUAGGAGCUCCUGCUGCAUGGUGGGGGUUGGAAAGUUUCGGCGGUUGGGGAUGGACUCGCGGCUUAUCAGCUUGUUGGUGGGGUAGUGGCUUACCAAGGCUUUGACGGGUAGCCGGCCUGAGAGGGUGACCGGCCACAUUGGGACUGAGAUACAGCCCAGACUCCUACGGGAGGCAGCAGUGGGGAAUAUUGCACAAUGGGCGGAAGCCUGAUGCAGCAACGCCGCGUGCGGGAUGACGGCCUUCGGGUUGUAAACCGCUUUCGCCUGUGACGAAGCGUGAGUGACGGUAAUGGGUAAAGAAGCACCGGCUAACUACGUG
This 468-nucleotide ribosomal RNA is filed under the name uncultured bacterium. RNAcentral's name for it is "partial 16S ribosomal RNA". It matches the Rfam family "Bacterial small subunit ribosomal RNA", at positions 28 to 507 of the family's 1533-position model. The record is from RNAcentral.